CGGAACGUGGCGCAGCCCGGUAGCGCACUUGCUUGGGGUGCAAGGGGUCGCGGGUUCAAAUCCCGCCGUUCCGA
RNAcentral lists this transfer RNA (74 nucleotides) under Bacteroidota bacterium. RNAcentral describes it as "Bacteroidetes bacterium (groundwater metagenome) tRNA-Pro". It matches the Rfam family "tRNA". From Rfam's summary of the family: Transfer RNA (tRNA) molecules are approximately 80 nucleotides in length. Their secondary structure includes four short double-helical elements and three loops (D, anti-codon, and T loops). Lineage: Bacteria; Pseudomonadati; Bacteroidota. The record is from RNAcentral. RNAcentral also lists the same sequence under 5 other names.